RNAcentral lists this ribosomal RNA (498 nucleotides) under uncultured Chlamydiales bacterium. RNAcentral describes it as "bacterial SSU rRNA". It matches the Rfam family "Bacterial small subunit ribosomal RNA", at positions 553 to 1050 of the family's 1533-position model. Lineage: Bacteria; Pseudomonadati; Chlamydiota; Chlamydiia; Chlamydiales. The record is from RNAcentral.
AUUGGGCGUAAAGGGCGCGUAGGCGGAAUAGAAAGUUAAAUGUGAAAUCUCGAAGCUUAACUUCGAGCCCGCAUUUAAUACUACUAAUCUAGAGGAUGGAUGGAGAAAAUGGAAUUCCACGUGUAGCGGUGAAAUGCGUAGAUAUGUGGAAGAACACCGGUGGCGAAGGCGAUUUUCUAAUUUAUUCCUGACGCUGAGGCGCGAAAGCAAGGGGAGCAAACAGGAUUAGAUACCCUGGUAGUCCUUGCCGUAAACGAUGUACACUUGAUGUAAUUGGAUUCAACCCCAAUUGUGUCGUAGCUAACGCGUUAAGUGUACCGCCUGAGGAGUACGCUCGCAAGGGUGAAACUCAAAAGAAUUGACGGGGGCCCGCACAAGCAGUGGAGCAUGUGGUUUAAUUCGAUGCAACGCGAAGAACCUUACCCAGACUUGACAUGUAUUAGACAGUGGCAGAGAUGUCAUCUUCCGAAAGGACUGAUACACAGGUGCUGCAUGGCU